UUAAGUCCAUGUCUUGGAUUGCUNAUAGUUCUGUGAAAUGUUUUCAAAACCCAUUAAUCACGUUUUUUACAAGUGACAAAAAAUAUUUUCUCCAUUUGUUGGCCACAUGACAACUUUCUAUUGACAACUUACUUUUCACAAGGAUGUGUUUGUUUGAAAAAAUCAUGGACCAUUGAUCAAAAUGGAGGGUUGAGAUUAGCUUAAGCUUGUCUAUCAUUUAUUGAUAUGGACGGCAGGAGAGAGAAGCACAUGACUUUUACUUUCUCUUGAUUUUUCUUCCAAAAAAUGGCAGACUUCUUUCUCCUCUCUCUUUGGCAGAAAUGUCGAUACUCGAUGAACCCUUCAAUAAAUGUACAAAUCCGUGUGUCAAUCAAAUAAAUGAAAAAUUGAAAAGAGUACUAUUGGAAUAAUUUAAAUAUAACUUCGAUAAAAUCGUACUUAAAAUGAUUCUCAUCUCUAUUAAAGAUUUAACUAGAAUUACCUACAUGCAAUCUAACAAAGUCAUCUUUGCUUCCAUGAAACCUUAUUAACAUCUUUGAUAUUAAGGAAUAGAAAAUAAAUUAAAAUUUUAUAUUUUACACUUUCAAAUCUUAUCUAAGUAAUAAUGCAAUACUAGAUUAUCCUUAAACUCUAAUCGUGUUCUUAAAAAAAAUAAAUAAAUAAAAUUCCCAAGUGGUGGUGCUGCUUGUCUACUAGUGGCCGCUGGAUCGAAAUUUGGAUAUUAAUCUCACUAUCGAAUUAUUCAGUAUAAGAAUUGAGGAAAAAAAAAUUAAUAUUUAAGUGCAAUUGAUUGGCUAAACUCUUUCAAGAUAAGGCAGCCAGCACUGCCAUGAAGAAAACUGAUAAGAAUGAAUGGCGUGUACGAGAUGAUUUAUGCUCUAUGUACAGAGGAGAGGUUGACAGAACUCCUUUAGAUUAGACACAUGGGGUCCACCCACUGUUUCUGAUCCGAGGAUCUCAUCUUGUACGUGUAGUCUCUUUCGUACGAGACAUGUUUGAAAGAUUAAUGAAUAACGACACAAGUUAUUGUCGAUUUUUUGACAAGUUAAAAAUUGCUUCUAGAAUUAGAAUUUUUUUUUUUAAUUUUUAUGACGGGGAAAUUCGCAAUCGCUACCCUUCGAGUGCGCACUGGAUAAAUCAUUUGACUGACGCAAUAGCUUGCAAACCACGCCAGUCAGAUAAAUCGCACUAGACAAACCCUAUGCAACAGACUUGACUGAGAAAGUGUUGGUAGAGGGAAUUAAACUCGUGAUCAUAAGUCUUUGUGCUCACCCACUCCACCAACUCAACCACCCCAUGAGGGGCUAGAAAAUAUAUUUUGAACCUUUGUUUGGAUGAAAUAGUUUGUAAAGAAAGUUUUAAGUAGUUUCUUCAUAAAAGUCUUCUGCAACACGCAAAAUGAAAGUAGAAGCUUUAACAAAUAGGUCCUUAAUAUCAGUUUACGAAAUAGUGAAGUAUCUAAUUAAACAACAUGUAUUUUAAAUUCAUUAAAUAAUUAAAAAUCCUGCAAAUUUUUUGGUUACAAAUCGUUGAUAUCUCUUAUAAACUUAGAAAUAAAAAUAAAUGGAAAUAUUUAUCAGGGAAAAAUUCGUAACUUGAUAAAUUACUACAUUCUCAAUCGCUAAUAAAAGUUUGCAGCCGAAUACCAAUGAAUUGUCAUCCAUAAAAAAUAAAUGC
This 1677-nucleotide long non-coding RNA is filed under the name Olea europaea subsp. europaea. The record is from RNAcentral. Lineage: Eukaryota; Viridiplantae; Streptophyta; Magnoliopsida; Lamiales; Oleaceae.